This 61-nucleotide transfer RNA is filed under the name Populicerus confusus. RNAcentral's name for it is "tRNA-Gly". The record is from RNAcentral. Lineage: Eukaryota; Metazoa; Arthropoda; Insecta; Hemiptera; Cicadellidae.
UAUUUAGUAUAAAAAGUAUAUUUAACUUCCAAUUAAAUGGUUUAAUAUUUUGAAAUAAAUA